UUCUGAACAUUUUCCUGAGGUAAUUUAUUUUUACCAUUAUUUGAAAUAAUGAAUUACAAUGUGGAGUUUUUAUUCUCUAUACUCCAUUGUGGAGAGAAAGGGGGGCUUUUAUUAUCUAAACCAGCAAUCACUGGCCAUUUGUGUUACAAUUUGUGUAUUUUCAGACAAUGACUAGUUUCUCUGUGUUUUUUUGUCAGUUUUGAGCAGUUUUCCUGAGGUAAUAUAUUUACCAUUAUUGUAAUUAAUGGAUUCACAGUGUGAUGUUUAUUCUCUAUACACCAUUUUAUUAUAAUUUUCAGACAAUGACUAGUUUCUCUGUGUUUUCUGUCAGUUUUAAGCAGUUUUCCUGAGGUAAUAUUUUUGCCAUUAUAGUAAUUUACAAUAUGAUGUUUAUUCUCUAUAUACCAUUGUGGAGAGAAAGGGGGGCUUUUAUUAUUUAAACCAGCAAUCACUUGCCAUUUGUGUUACAAUUUGUGUAUUUUCAGACAAUGACUAGUUUCUCUGUGUUUUCUGUCAGUUUUGAGCAGUUUUCCUGAGGUAAUAUUUUUUUAACCAUUAUAGUAAUCAAUGGAUUUACAAUGUGAUGUUUAUUCACUAUACACCGUGGGGGUCUAUGUAUUUAUGGAGAUGUUUUGCUUUUCAUGCUGCAAUAAAC
Non-coding RNA from Pelobates cultripes (western spadefoot toad), 655 nucleotides. Lineage: Eukaryota; Metazoa; Chordata; Amphibia; Anura; Pelobatidae. The record is from the annotation of a GenBank genome assembly.